Molecule: ribosomal RNA, 1350 nt
Filed under: uncultured bacterium
Lineage: Bacteria
Description: bacterial SSU rRNA
Rfam family: Bacterial small subunit ribosomal RNA
Source: RNAcentral
GACGAACGCUGGCGGCGCGCCUAACACAUGCAAGUCGAACGGAGCUUGCUCAGCAGAUUCUUUCGGGAUGACGCAGAGUAAGCUUAGUGGCGAACGGGUGAGUAACACGUGAGGAACCUGCCCUUGAGUGGGGGACAACAGUCGGAAACGACUGCUAAUACCGCAUAAGCCCACGGAGCCGCAUGGCUCAGGGGGAAAAGGAUUUAUUCGCUUUAGGAUGGACUCGCGUCUGAUUAGAUAGUUGGUGAGGUAACGGCCCACCAAGUCGACGAUCAGUAGCCGGACUGAGAGGUUGAUCGGCCACAUUGGGACUGAGACACGGCCCAGACUCCUACGGGAGGCAGCAGUGGGGAAUAUUGCACAAUGGGGGAAACCCUGAUGCAGCGACGCCGCGUGGAGGAAGAAGGUCUUCGGAUUGUAAACUCCUGUUCUUAGGGACGAUAAUGACGGUACCUAAGAAGAAAGCCACGGCUAACUACGUGCCAGCAGCCGCGGUAAAACGUAGGUGGCAAGCGUUGUCCGGAAUUACUGGGUGUAAAGGGAGCGCAGGCGGGAUGGCAAGUUGGAAGUGAAAACUAUGGGCUCAACCCAUAGAUUGCUUUCAAAACUGCUAUUCUUGAGUGGUGCAGAGGUAGGCGGAAUUCCCGGUGUAGCGGUGGAAUGCGUAGAUAUCGGGAGGAACACCAGUGGCGAAGGCGGCCUACUGGGCACUAACUGACGCUGAGGCUCGAAAGCAUGGGUAGCAAACAGGAUUAGAUACCCUGGUAGUCCAUGCCGUAAACGAUGAUUACUAGGUGUGGGGAGAUUGACCCCUCUCCGUGCCGCAGUUAACACAAUAAGUAAUCCACCUGGGGAGUACGACCGCAAGGUUGAAACUCAAAGGAAUUGACGGGGGCCCGCACAAGCAGUGGAGUAUGUGGUUUAAUUCGAAGCAACGCGAAGAACCUUACCAGGUCUUGACAUCCGAUGCAUAGUCUAGAGAUAGAUGAAGUCCUUCGGGACAUCGAGACAGGUGGUGCAUGGUUGUCGUCAGCUCGUGUCGUGAGAUGUUGGGUUAAGUCCCGCAACGAGCGCAACCCCUAUUGUUAGUUACUACGAAAGAGGACUCUAGCAAGACUGCCGUUGACAAAACGGAGGAAGGUGGGGAUGACGUCAAAUUAUCAUGCCCUUUAUGACCUGGGCUACACACGUACUACAAUGGCGCUUAACAAAGAGAAGCAAGAUCGCGAGAUGGAGCAAACCUCAUAAACAGCGUCUCAGUUCAGAUUGCAGGCUGCAACUCGCCUGCAUGAAGUCGGAAUUGCUAGUAAUCGUGGAUCAGCAUGCCACGGUGAAUACGUUCCCGGGCCU